Molecule: ribosomal RNA, 253 nt
Filed under: uncultured bacterium
Lineage: Bacteria
Description: partial 16S ribosomal RNA
Rfam family: Bacterial small subunit ribosomal RNA
Source: RNAcentral
UACGUAGGGGGCAAGCGUUGUCCGGAUUUACUGGGCGUAAAGAGCGUGUAGGCGGCCAUGCAGGUCCGUUGUGAAAACUGGAGGCUUAACCUCCAGACGUCGACGGAAACCGCGUGGCUAGAGUCCGGAAGAGGAGACUGGAAUUCCUGGUGUAGCGGUGAAAUGCGCAGAUAUCAGGAGGAACACCAGUGGCGAAGGCGGGUCUCUGGACAGUUCCUGACACUGAGACACGAAGGCCAGGGGAGCAAACGGG